GAGCGAGCUUAUGUCAGCUCAAAUUCGGCUUGAAAUUAAUUUGGAGCCUAAAUCUAGACUUAAGCUCAGCUUGAAAUUAAUUCGAGCCGAACUCGAGCGAGCCUAAUUUCAAGUCGAGCCGAGCUCGAGCUCUAAACGAGCCGAUUGAAAUUCUCGACAUUAUAUAAUCAAUAAUUUAAUUUUUAUAGAAUAUUACCUACAAUUUGAUGCAACGUGUCCAAUAGUUCAAAAUACAACAUAAUUAUAAGAAAUAUGAGCUAGGGUGACUUCCUGACUGGAUGAGGGUCUGAGAGAGAGAGAGAGAGAGGAAAAAAAAGUAGGGAUUUAAAAAUUUAAAUGUUAUCAUGUUUUAGGGUUAUGUGUAACAGUGAAAGUCUGAAAGAGAGAGUGUGUUAUGUAAAUUUAGAGUUAGGCUCAAUUGCACGGUUGUACUUAUUGGGUUUAUUUUAUGGGCCAACAAUACUGACCCAAAUUAAAUUAAAGCUUAUAUAUAAUUAAAAUACAUUAUAUAUAUAUAUAUAUAGAGUCCGGCUACUAUACUUUUAUGAGUAUUGGCUCCUUUAUACUCAUAAAUUUUCGACCCUUAGAUUUAUUCCAUUAAUUAUUUUUAUCCGUUAGAUCAUACUAUUUAACCAACUACCCACUCAACCCUAGGGGACCACUAUCAUUCUAAGUGGGGACCACCAUCAUUCUAACCACACAUCCCAUCAAUCAACGGUUAAAAAUUUAUGAGUACAAGGGGGUCUAUACUCAUAAGAGUAUAGUAGCUCCAGUCUAUAUAUAUAUAUAUAUAUAUAUAUUUUCGAGAUUUUCGAGCUUUUCGAGCCUAAUUCGAACGAGCCGAAUAAUACUCAAGCUCGGCUUGAAAUGAAUUUCGAGCCUUUUAUUUUGUUCAAGCUCGGCUCAUUUAAUUUCGAGUCGAGCUCGUGCGAGCCGAAUAUCGAGCCGAACACGAGUCGA
Molecule: long non-coding RNA, 960 nt
Filed under: Ananas comosus (pineapple)
Lineage: Eukaryota; Viridiplantae; Streptophyta; Magnoliopsida; Poales; Bromeliaceae
Description: long non-coding RNA (ACOM_LNC034102)
Source: RNAcentral